RNAcentral lists this ribosomal RNA (253 nucleotides) under uncultured bacterium. RNAcentral describes it as "partial 16S ribosomal RNA". It matches the Rfam family "Bacterial small subunit ribosomal RNA", at positions 102 to 353 of the family's 1533-position model. The record is from RNAcentral.
ACGGGUGAGUAACGCGUGGGUAACCUGCCUUAUACAGGGGGAUAACAGUUAGAAAUGACUGCUAAUACCGCAUAAGCGCACAGGAUUGCAUGAUCUGGUGUGAAAAACUCCGGUGGUAUAAGAUGGACCCGCGUCUGAUUAGCUGGUUGGUGGGGUAACGGCCCACCAAGGCGACGAUCCAUAGCCGGCCUGAGAGGGUGAACGGCCACAUUGGGACUGAGACACGGCCCAGACUCCUACGGGAGGCAGCAUG